GACGAACGCUGGCGGCGUGCCUAAUACAUGCAAGUAGAACGCUGAAGGAGGAGCUUGCUUCUCUGGAUGAGUUGCGAACGGGUGAGUAACGCGUAGGUAACCUGCCUGGUAGCGGGGGAUAACUAUUGGAAACGAUAGCUAAUACCGCAUAAGAGUAGAUGUUGCAUGACAUUUGCUUAAAAGGUGCAAUUGCAUCACUACCAGAUGGACCUGCGUUGUAUUAGCUAGUUGGUGAGGUAACGGCUCACCAAGGCGACGAUACAUAGCCGACCUGAGAGGGUGAUCGGCCACCCUGGGACUGAGACACGGCCCAGACUCCUACGGGAGGCAGCAGUAGGGAAUCUUCGGCAAUGGACGGAAGUCUGACCGAGCAACGCCGCGUGAGUGAAGAAGGUUUUCGGAUCGUAAAGCUCUGUUGUAAGAGAAGAACGAGUGUGAGAGUGGAAAGUUCACACUGUGACGGUAUCUUACCAGAAAGGGACGGCUAACUACGUG
RNAcentral lists this ribosomal RNA (495 nucleotides) under uncultured bacterium. RNAcentral's name for it is "partial 16S ribosomal RNA". It matches the Rfam family "Bacterial small subunit ribosomal RNA", at positions 28 to 507 of the family's 1533-position model. The record is from RNAcentral.